RNAcentral lists this ribosomal RNA (508 nucleotides) under uncultured bacterium. Its description in RNAcentral is "partial 16S ribosomal RNA". It matches the Rfam family "Bacterial small subunit ribosomal RNA", at positions 28 to 507 of the family's 1533-position model. The record is from RNAcentral.
GACGAACGCUGGCGGCGUGCCUAAUACAUGCAAGUCGAACGCUUCUUUCCUCCCGAGUGCUUGCACUCAAUUGGAAAGAGGAGUGGCGGACGGGUGAGUAACACGUGGGUAACCUACCCAUCAGAGGGGGAUAACACUUGGAAACAGGUGCUAAUACCGCAUAACAGUUUAUGCCGCAUGGCAUAAGAGUGAAAGGCGCUUUCGGGUGUCGCUGAUGGAUGAACCCGCGGUGCAUUAGCUAGUUGGUGAGGUAACGGCUCACCAAGGCCACGAUGCAUAGCCGACCUGAGAGGGUGAUCGGCCACACUGGGACUGAGACACGGCCCAGACUCCUACGGGAGGCAGCAGUAGGGAAUCUUCGGCAAUGGACGAAAGUCUGACCGAGCAACGCCGCGUGAGUGAAGAAGGUUUUCGGAUCGUAAAACUCUGUUGUUAGAGAAGAACAAGGACGUUAGUAACUGAACGUCCCCUGACGGUAUCUAACCAGAAAGCCACGGCUAACUACGUG